GAUGAACGCUGGCGGCGUGCCUAACACAUGCAAGUCGAGCGAAGCGAUUUUGAGGAAGUUUUCGGAUGGAAUCGAAAUUGACUUAGCGGCGGACGGGUGAGUAACACGUGGGUAAUCUGCCUUAUACAGGGGGAUAACAGUUAGAAAUGACUGCUAAUACCGCAUAAGCGCACGGGGACGCAUGUUUCUGUGUGAAAAACUCCGGUAGUAUAAGAUGAGCCCGCGUCUGAUUAGCUGGUUGGUGGGGUAACGGCCUACCAAGGCGACGAUCAGUAGCCGGCCUGAGAGGGUGAACGGCCACAUUGGGACUGAGACACGGCCCAA
This 324-nucleotide ribosomal RNA is filed under the name uncultured bacterium. Its description in RNAcentral is "bacterial SSU rRNA". It matches the Rfam family "Bacterial small subunit ribosomal RNA", at positions 28 to 334 of the family's 1533-position model. The record is from RNAcentral.